AAAAAGCUCGUAGUUGGAUUUCUGUUGAGGACGGCCGGUCCGCACUAUGUGCGUGUAUCUGGUUCGGCCUAGGCAUCCUCUUGAGGAACGUUCCUGCGCUUGAUUGCGUGGGGCGGUAUUCAAGACUUUUACUUUGAGGAAAUUAGAGUGUUCACGGCAGGCAAGCGCCUUGAAUACAUUAGCAUGGAAUAAUAAUAUAGGACCUUGGUUCUAUUUUGUUGGCUUCUAGAGCCGAGGUAAUGAUUAAUAGGGAUAGUUGGGGGCAUUCGAAUUUAACUGUCAGAGGUGAAAUUCUUGGAUUUCCGAAAGACGAACUACUGCGAAAGCAUUUACCAAGGAUGUUUUCAUUAAUCAAGAACGAAAGUUAGGGGAUCGAAGAUGAUUAGAUACCAUCGUA
RNAcentral lists this ribosomal RNA (397 nucleotides) under uncultured marine eukaryote. RNAcentral describes it as "bacterial SSU rRNA". It matches the Rfam family "Eukaryotic small subunit ribosomal RNA", at positions 621 to 1022 of the family's 1831-position model. The record is from RNAcentral.